RNAcentral lists this unclassified non-coding RNA (262 nucleotides) under plant metagenome. RNAcentral describes it as "partial contains small subunit ribosomal RNA, internal transcribed spacer 1, and 5.8S ribosomal RNA". The record is from RNAcentral.
UUUCCGUAGGUGAACCUGCGGAAGGAUCAUUAUUGUAUAACCGAGGUGCGAGGGCUGUCGCUGACCCGAAAGGUCGUGCACGCCCGUGUGCCCUCACACACAUCCAUCUCACCCCUAUGUGCACCACCGCGUGGGUCCCCCUUUGGCUUGUUCGGAGGGGGGCUUACGUUUUCACACAAACUUUGUAUGCAGUGUAGAAUGUAUUUUUGUUUUUGCGAUCACGCAAUCAAUACAACUUUCAACAACGGAUCUCUUGGCUCUU